GACAGAGGGUGCAAACGUUGUUCGGAAUUACUGGGCGUAAAGCGUGUGUAGGCGGCCAUGUAAGUCGGGUGUGAAAGCCCCGGGCUCAACCCGGGAAGUGCACUCGAAACUGCGUGGCUUGAGUAUCGGAGAGGUUGGUGGAAUUCUCGGUGUAGAGGUGAAAUUCGUAGAUAUCGAGAGGAACACCGGUGGCGAAGGCGGCCAACUGGACGAAUACUGACGCUGAGACACGAAAGCGUGGGGAGCAAACAGG
Molecule: ribosomal RNA, 253 nt
Filed under: uncultured bacterium
Lineage: Bacteria
Description: partial 16S ribosomal RNA
Rfam family: Bacterial small subunit ribosomal RNA
Source: RNAcentral